GAGUUUGAUCGUGGCUCAGGAUGAACGCUGGCGGCGUGCCUAACACAUGCAAGUCGAACGGACAUUUUUUGGAAAGCUCUUCGGAACUGGAAUCUAAAUGUUAGUGGCGGACGGGUGAGUAACGCGUGAGCAAUCUGCCUUUCAGAGGGGGAUAACAGCCGGAAACGGCUGCUAAUACCGCAUAAUGCAUUGGAUUCGCAUGUUUCUGAUGCCAAAGAUUUUAUCGCUGAAAGAUGAGCUCGCGUCUGAUUAGCUAGUUGGCGGGGUAACGGCCCACCAAGGCGACGAUCAGUAGCCGGACUGAGAGGUUGAACGGCCACAUUGGGACUGAGACACGGCCCAGACUCCUACGGGA
This 355-nucleotide ribosomal RNA is filed under the name uncultured bacterium. RNAcentral describes it as "bacterial SSU rRNA". It matches the Rfam family "Bacterial small subunit ribosomal RNA", at positions 9 to 346 of the family's 1533-position model. The record is from RNAcentral.